CUGACUCACACUGGGAAAUGGAGUGACUGGCACUGGCACUGGUUGAAGCAGAGGACGAGGACAAGGUACAGGCUGGCACCAGGGAGCAGAAUAGACGGCGAACAGCCUGGCCAAUGUCUUUAUGGUAAAUGAGAAUCACAGAGCAGGCUGCCCAGCAAAAAGGGGGGUCCACUGGAAAGGGCCCUGGGGAAGUUGGGGGUAGAAGGCUGGGGUAGACAGGGCUGAGGGAAAGAGGGAAUCAAGUCAUUGGCUGUAUUUUCUGGAGUAAGAUGAGACGUUGGUGCCCCUGUGCCAGAGGAGACCUAGCCAUGACAUGAUUGAUUUCACACCCUGUAAGGGAGCAUUUCAAAAGAAGCCAGGCUGGUUUUGAAAUAUGAGGCCACGGUGUGGUUGACUGUAUAUCUUUGGCUAUUUUUUUUUCUGUGAGGCAAUUACAUUAAGUGCUUAACAUCAAUCCAGAGGGGGAAAUGAGGGCACUGUGCUUUGAACAGAGGAUUUGAUGAAGAGAGGUGGGGUGUGGUGGCGACACUGUCUCCCCACCCAAUACAAAUGCAGCAAGUGGAGAAAACAGACCCUGCAGCCCCUGAGUUCCAGUGACCGUGACAAGGGACACAUAAACGCCCAAGAGCAUGAGGUAGUAUCAGUUGUGUCAACAGCUGCAUGUUACAAAUGCCGCAGGUGAGUGAGACUUGCCAACUGUUAAUGGAACUGCUGGAAAUGAAAGACAACCGGGCACCUGCUGCAAGCCGCCCUCCCUGGCCCACCCCACCUGAGCUGUGGCCUGAGCCAGCUCUCUGCCUCACUCUUUUCUUCUUUCACAUUGGGUCCAAAAUAAAGCUUGUUCCUAAACAUGUUUUACAACCUGGCUGGACCCCCACAGCGGUCCCUCCAGGUGUGAAGGGAUGCUGGGCAUCAGAUGCCAGGGUAAAAAGUUCACCUGCAGGUGCAAAUGCCACCAAGAGCCUCCUCUCACUCCAACCUCUCCUCCCAAUAGCGUUCUCCCAUCACAGAAGGGCCACCCGGGGAGGGUCACAAGAGCAGCCAGGAAACAAGAGCACUCAACAUUCUGUGGAACCCUGUUCAAAGGACAGAGGGCAAGAGAGAAGUCCAGGCAAGUACAUAGAAGAGCCAGGGAAAUAUCAAAUAAGGAGAAAGGUGCAUAGGGAAUCACCAGAAGAAUUUAUACAGAGAAAGACAUCCAUUUAAAAAGGGCUGAAAGCCAGGUGAGCUGGCACACGCCUAUGAUCUCAGCCACCUGGGAGGCUAAGGCUGUUGCAUUGCAAGUUCAAGGCCAGCCUCGACAACACUGUCUUAAAUUUUUUUUUUUUUUUUAAAAAGGGUUGAGGUUGUAACUCUAUAUUAAGUACCCUUGGCUUCAAAUACAGUACAAAAAAAAAAAGUUCUGAAGGAAUAAACAUAAUUGUAUAAUCCUUUUAUUUUUUUAAACAUUUGUUUUUUAGAAGUAGUUGGACACAAUCCCUUUAUUUUAUUUAUGUAUUUUUAUGUGGUGCUGAGGAUCGAACCCAGGGCCUCGAACGUGCUAGACGAGCACUCCACUGCUGAGCCACAACCCCAGUCCUGUAUAAUCCUUUUAAAAAUAGACAUUUUCAAUGAUGUAGAAAAGCAAAAAGAACUGUCAAAGGAACCCUGUGUGUCUAUCACCCAACUCUAACCAACGUGAACAUGGGCCCUUCUUACUUUAUCUGCUCCACUGUCUUGUACCUGGACUAUUUUGUGUGACUCAACUUGCUGUUACUAUAACAAAUAUCUGACUUGAUCUACUUAUAAAGAGAAAGGUUUACUUGGGUUCUUUCAGUCCCUGAUGGCAUGGCCCCAUUACUUUGGGCCUUUGGGGAGGCAGCACAUAUGGCAGGAAGCAUGUGAUAGAGCAUAUAAUGCCAGGAAGCAAAAAUGAGGAAGAAAAGAACUUGGGGGUCCCACUAUCCCCCGAAAGAGUGUACCCCUAAUGACCUAAAGACCUCCACACUAGUCCCCAGCUCUUAAAGUUUCCACAUGGAACCUAAACCUUUAGCAUAGGAACCUUAAAGGGACAUUAAAGAUCCAAGCCGUAGCAUAUUUUUUUAAAAAUCCCAGAGAUUUCAUUUCACCAUAAAUUUCUCAGAAUAUAUUCAUAAAGCACUGUGUCUUUUGCAUUUUUGACAGAAAUUUCCAUCUGAAAGAUAGAGAACUUAAAGAGGAAAUUUGAAAGGAGAGGAAGGUCUUAGAGAGGCAGUAACAGAAUAUUGUACUCUACUGCAUGCUUUGCCCUGCAGUGAUCCCCAAGGCCCUGGGUAGGGUACUGUACCAACACCUUUUUAUGUGGCUUCCUGAGCACGGACUGAUUUCUUUUCCUUGGAAACUGACCAGUAGUAAUGUCUGCUCUCUAUGAUCCUGCCCUGCUGGCCCAAGAGGUUAUUCCAAAGAUAGAGACUUUGGGCCAACAAGGCCAUUGAGAUUCUGUGCUGGGGAUUUGAAUUUGGAAGAAGAAAGUCACAGGUAGGCAAAACUCUAGAUUAAAAGAGAAAGCCUCUUUGCUCUUACUGCAGAGACUCUAGAAACCGCCCUUCUUGAACUUGGGGAAGCUUGGGGAAAUUCUUAGCUUUCCCAAAGUUUGGGGUGGAACAUUUGCUUAGGUUCUGUGAGAUACCCCAUAAUCUUUCAAAUAAAUUUCCCUCUGAUGGCACUGCUAGCCAGAACUAACUUUCACUAUUGCAGCCAAAAGAACUUUAAUUACUACAGAUCUCUCUAGAAGGAUUGUGGUCUAGAGAUUCAAGCAAACUCAAAACUAAAAUAGGGAUGAAAACAUCAUGAAGCAAACCUUGUAUGUUAAGUUCACUGCUAUUUUCCCAAUUAGCACUGUCCCCAGCACACAGUAGUCAUUCACUACUUAACUAUUGAUUAAGUUGAAUAUCAAUCUUUCUAGCAGAGAAGAGAUGGUGUAAUCAGCCCAUUGUGGAGCAAGUCCAAUCGUCUUCUAGAAGUAUGGGUUUGGCUCUGACCCUGGCACUUCCUGGAGGGAGUCACUCAGCCUCUUUGGACCUCAGUUUUCUCAUCUGUGAAUUGGGGAAAUCAGUUCAGCCAGAUUUACAGAGUUAUUGCGAAGCUCAAAUGAGGUCAUACUUUGUAAACUAUAAACCGUUUGCAAAUGAAAGCUUCGGAUCUACUUUGGAGAUUAAACCACAAGAAGCCUGAGAACCAAACUGAUUCUUUUUUCCAAAACCUAUUGCUUCUGCAUUCAGAUCAUCAGGUGCUCAAGAUGACUAGGUACACCAUGACUGGCAUCCAUCGCGAGCAUCAAUGGCUCCUCCAUCCUGCCUGAGAGGCCACCAGGUUGGCCAGAAGCAAGUGGGUGUCCUGGGACCCGAGGCAUGAAACAGCUUGAACUUUCCCAUUACCCGAAUGGCUCAACACUUUUAGAACAUUGCUGCAUUGUUCUGCGCCCUUAGGUUUCCGGUUGGCAGGCCAACCCCAGGCGUUGCCAGCAAGCCCAUAGCUAUGAUGAUUCGUCUCACCUCCAGCCAUUCAUCUCCCUGAGUACACCAGGACAUCAUCUCACAGUGUUACUACCCAAGAGAACAGGGGCGGGGCGUGGGGGAAGGGGAUUACAUCAUCAUUAUUAUUGUUAUUCACUUAUCAGAUGAUUAUUAAUUACACUUCAAUUAAAGGCUUGCAGUCUUUACAAGCAUGAGCUCAUCAGACACACAAUGCCCAAAGGAGGUCAAGAACCAGGAGACGGGCUGAUGUGUUCAGGAAUGAGCUGACUUAAGUUGCAGAAAUCCUGGCAUUUGGUUUUUUCCCUCUCUCUCUCCAGUCUAGCAGGUGAGGGUCUCUCAAUCCCCCCACGGAUGUCUCCUGGAGUCUGUCAAAGUGACAAGGAUAGAAUUAGCCCUUCUCAAUACUUCCAUGGAGUUAAAAGGAAAGAAAGCAGAAGAAGCCAGUUCAUGACCAGGAGCUGAGCCGCAGCCAGCUCACCCCCAAGAUAAAUAAGCCCAGGGAGUUAACUUCUUGGGAAUCCAAGGAGCAACAGCUGGCGUGGUGGAUUUUAAAUGUGCAGUGCUCUGUGGAAGGUUCCGGGAAGGUUCUGGCUGGGGAGGUGGUGGGGCAAGGCUUUAGAUAUCAGGAAGUCAUUUUGUCACUGGAGGCCAAAGAACAGGGCCGUGGUGCCCAGAAACAGAAAAUGGUGAGCGGCAUCCAGAGCCCUCAGAAAAGUGCUGCGGCCACAGACAGGAGCGAAGCCCAGGGCAGGAGCCACAGGUGAACCCCUUUGAGGGAUGCAGGUCCCACCCCUGUGACAGCAUCUCUGUGACCUCUCAUCAUACCAAAGCCCCAGAAGACUGUUAAAACCCAGCUCAAACCUGACUCCCCCAGGAAAGGUGUCCCUUUAAAAUAAGUAGCAGGUAGAACAACUGCAUAUGUUUUUUUUUCAUUUCUUUUCUUUCUUUCUCUCUCUCUGUCUCUCUCUCUGUUUCUUCUUUCUUUCUUCCUUCCUUCCUUCCUUCCUUCCUUGGGGAGUGGUAUGGAAAAGGAUGGAAUCUGCUAAGAGGCAGAGGGAGGCACCAGGUUCUUCAGUGAGCCAGACAACCUAUCCCACAGUAGCCACCUCCAACCUGGCUACAAAGUUAAUAAAACCUGAAGGGGAUGGAAAAAGAAGCAGAAACCUGAGGCAGUCGGUCCCUUAUCUUGAAAGAAAAAUCAGUGCUUUAGUUAGCCGGAGAGGUUUGCCAAUUAAAAGGCUCUUGAAAGAAGUGAAUAAAUAAAAUCCCAGUUAGUUCUCCUGUGCUGGGUGGGGAGGGAGGGUCCUGGGGCUUUGUUCUAUAAAGGGCUUGGGCUUUACAGGAUAGGGAGUUAGGGCCUCUGUCCCCCACCCUCCUUCUACUAUCUUUACCCAAUGAGGUUUGUAGUGAUCUAAUCGGGAAGAGAUAAAGCCCAAUUUCCUAAGCUCUGGAGCUGAUAAACACCAAGCCAAAGACAAGCUCUGUUCACAAAGCAAUAAUUAAAGCUCUCAGGAACCCAACCAGUACUGUGGUCAAAAGGACAAGGACAAACUCAUAUUUCUCAAUGCCAUUCUGGGCAGCUGUAAGCACCUCUUGUUGGAAUUUAAUCCAGAGGAAUUAGCAUUAUCAUCAUCCACGUCUUUAUGGAUUCAACUAGACCGUAACAGCACAUGACCAGCCUGGCUACCACCUAACUCUGCUGACCACAAGCACCAAGCAUGCCAUUAAUGUAGCCUUCUGUCGAGAUUCAGCAAAAUAAGCUCUAUUGUAUUUCUUACUGAUCGAGGGUCUAAAUUCUAGGGAUUAUAUGAUUGCCUGUGAAGUGGGGUGCCCUUUUAUUUGUAAAACACGGAUAGCCAGAUAUUACCUGACAGUGCGGGAGUUUCUUAGUUCUGCAGAGCAAGUUCUCUCCCUUGAAGCAUUUGGAAAUAGUAAUGUGCAUGUACUAGGAGAUGUGGGGUCGAAGCAAAGGGAAAGAAUAUGUACGGCCAUGCUUUCUAUACCCAACAGGGUUUUUUCCAGAGUUGUAACCUGGUGAAAGACAGGGAGAGGAUGGGGUCAAUCCUGCUCAGAGUGAGCCAUUCUUUAGGUCCCUUUGAGAACACCAAGAAAUGUCAACAGGAAAUGGACAGGUCUCCAUUUGGAUCAGAGAUAAUCCUGGCUGGAACAGAAAACAGGGCUGUGGGUCUGCCAGCAUUUGGACAGACUGUGAACGUCUUACUAGGAUCAAGAGGAAGACAGGGUCCUGGCUGAGGCAUCAAUGUUUUCUCCUAUUAAAAAAAAAAAAUCACUGGAAACUGUCUUUUGGAAUGAAAUUUAACUUAGGCUUUGACUAUAGAAAACAGAUAAAUAUGGUAUUUUAUAAGUUUAUUUCAAAUAUUUUUACUUUAAAUGUUUAUCAAAAAGGAUAAUGAGACAACUUUGAUGAGCCUAAGUAUCUGGAAUUAAAUGUCAUGCUUUGCUUC
Molecule: long non-coding RNA, 5959 nt
Organism: Marmota monax (woodchuck)
Lineage: Eukaryota; Metazoa; Chordata; Mammalia; Rodentia; Sciuridae
Exons: 3
Source: RefSeq, a predicted model, not a curated record